AAGUGAGAACGUUCAGUAUUUGACUUUUGGUUCCUGAAUUAAAUGUAUUUCUUUAAUUCACAGGUCUUCAGAUUGAGAGGAGCAGAACAUGAGGUACUGAACUCAAGAGGUCUCACGUGCACUUGGACCUGAUUUACAUGACAAGUUCUCCCCCAUUGGCAUGCUGAUAAAUGAGAGUCUGAAGCUUUGACAUAAAAACCUAAACUCUACCUGUGUACAGAACAGAAACAGAAUGAGAGCGAAAAAACAACUAUACUGAAAGCAAAUUGAAGAGAAUUGUGAACUUUCUUCUGAAUGCAUAUAUUUUGCUCGACAAGUUUAGCUUCCAUAAAAAUCUGAAAUCUAGAA
Homo sapiens (human) is the source of this 348-nucleotide long non-coding RNA. The record is from Ensembl. Lineage: Eukaryota; Metazoa; Chordata; Mammalia; Primates; Hominidae.